CAGUAGCCGCGGUAAUACGGAGGGAGCUAGCGUUGUUCGGAAUUACUGGGCGUAAAGCGCGCGUAGGCGGUUACUCAAGUCAGAGGUGAAAGCCCGGGGCUCAACCCCGGAACUGCCUUUGAAACUAGGUAACUAGAAUCUUGGAGAGGUCAGUGGAAUUCCGAGUGUAGAGGUGAAAUUCGUAGAUAUUCGGAAGAACACCAGUGGCGAAGGCGACUGACUGGACAAGUAUUGACGCUGAGGUGCGAAAGCGUGGGGAGCAAACAGGAUUAGAUACCCCAGUAGUCCCUGUCUCUUAUAC
Molecule: ribosomal RNA, 301 nt
Filed under: uncultured bacterium
Lineage: Bacteria
Description: partial 16S ribosomal RNA
Rfam family: Bacterial small subunit ribosomal RNA
Source: RNAcentral